UGAGGAAGAAGAGGUCAGAGUUCUGGAAUCAGAAAGAGCAAGUAGGAAGGGUGCUGCACCUAAGGACUCUAGAUCCUUGGUUUGGGACUGGGCCUCACACAUGUAAUGUGAGGCUCUUGAGACUGAGGAGGACUGCUGUUCGGUCAGGAUCAGAAGGAAUAUGCUAGAGUUCAAGCCACCAUGCAAGAUCCGUGAGCAACUCCUUAGGUGAAUUGUGAAAGACAGCCAGGAUUCCUUCAACCUACACAGUGACCAACCUCAUCUCCUCCAAAUUUCAGGUUGUGCUGCAGCCUAAUCAAUCAGCAAUCUGAAUAAAAAUAAAACUGGAAAGUUAUCCUUUCCAAUCACC
Homo sapiens (human) is the source of this 349-nucleotide long non-coding RNA. Ensembl annotates it as long intergenic non-protein coding RNA 2919. The record is from Ensembl. NCBI's taxonomy places the organism in Eukaryota, Metazoa, Chordata, Mammalia, Primates, Hominidae.